Molecule: non-coding RNA, 2218 nt
Organism: Microcebus murinus (gray mouse lemur)
Lineage: Eukaryota; Metazoa; Chordata; Mammalia; Primates; Cheirogaleidae
Source: RefSeq, a predicted model, not a curated record
GAGCUUUGCCGGACCCUCACUUGGCGAAUCUGGGCGCCGCCAACCAGCUUGGAGUUCCCGUCGGUGACAAAGCCUGAAGAUGAAAACCAGCCCAGGGCCCUGAGUCCCGGAGGAGAGAGCCGCUUGCUUGGAAUUCCAUGGAGAAGACAGGACAACCCAUGUGAACAGCUCGGCUCAAUGGUUCUUCUGAGAGGGAUGGACGGUUCCCAUCCCACGGAGCCCACGCUCCAGGAAGGGAGGUGUAGGCUUCGAACAACUCUCCGCGUGAUUCAUCCUUUGGCCACAAGCAGGGCCUGGGCCACCUGGCGUCAGCUCGACCCCUGCAGGGUGGGGGCUAAGGUCAGCCCUGUGGGUGAUCAACCACGUCUAUGUGACCAAGCCCCAGUGAAGACUGUGGACACCAAGGCUGGGGGAGCUCCCCUGGCUGGCAGCGAUGAAUGUGCAUUGUCACACAUCAGCGUUGGGAGAAGUUAGUGCUAUCCACAACCCCCCUGGGAAGGACCGCUGGAAGCUCACGCCUGGUCUCUCCUAGCCCCGUUCCCUGCGUCUCUUCCCUUUACUAAUUUUAACCUGCGUUCUGCUGCUGCCGUAAACUCUAACUGUGAUCGCAGUGGCUUUUCUGAGUUCUGUGAGUCCUCCGUGUGAAUCAUGGAAGCUGAGAGUGGUUCGGGGACUGGAGUCACCCUGCCAUUGCUGGCGUGGCGAAGGCUCACGUCCACCAGCCACUGGCCCUGCGAGCCACGACGCUGGGUAUUACCCAAGUCCAUCUUUUGCUCAGCCGGGUGCUGGGGGACGCCCCAGAACAUGAUGCUGGUGAGCAUGGUGCAGAGCAGCAGCGACAGGCAGCAGGACGCCCUCUGCACGCGGGUGAAGUUGCUCCGGGCCGAGCUGCUGAAGACCGAGUACCAGAUGUGUCCCUCCCGGAAGCCCGCGGACGUCUUCAUGAAAAACAGUACCUGAAUUGUUUCCUGUCCUGCUCUGUGGCCACUGGAAAUACUUUGUCGAGGACACAGUCUCCAACAUCAAUGGACAGCCACGAAUUGCAGAGGAAAUACCACUUCUGGUCCAUUGCCAGGUCAUGGACCAGUACCCGGCUCACAUACCUGGAAAAGGGACCCACAGAUUUGAGGAUAAGCCCAGGGCCAGCGUCCAGGCACGAUUGAGCAAAGCCAAGUUGGAUACUGGAGUGCACAAAACAUGGUCCUCGCGCGUGUGUCUAACCGGAGAGCGAGUCCACCAUCGAUCUGGGGCUCAGGACUGCAAGGGCAUCAUCUGACCUGAUUUGGGUCUCGGAGGCCCGGGGAAGAAUGGAAAUCGUCUCGCCUGUCCUGGGAUGUCAGGAAGCGGUACAGCCAGUAAGAAUAGUAAUGGCAGCAAUAGCCACGCUUUAUUGUUUGCUACCUGAUGGGGACGAGGCUAAGAUACCCUUGCCAUGCAUUUUCUCAUCUCAGGGAGCACAGCCCCAUCAAGGAUGCAAAGGUCACCUCUGUUAAGGUCACAUGCUGUCCCGAGGUGGCCACCAUCCAGUGAUGAGGUGCCUGCUAUUAUCGGGACCUGGGCAUUUAUGUCCAACUAGGGACAGUUCCAGAGGUCAGAUGGACUGUCAUUGGGCUGCAUCACGGCCUGACCUCUCCCUCUGCCCACCCUGCCUCCCUCCCUCCCUCCCCAGGUGCCCCUCAAUAAACGCCCUGCCUGCUCAGUUCCAUCUUGGAGUCCACUUGCUAAGAACUGACCUAUGGCUGAGGCACUUAAUGUGUUAACUUUAAUCCCUUGGGUGAACUAAAGACAGCAGCAUAAAUGCUGUGUCUUUCUAAAGCUACCAGCUGCUGAUGGGUGGUCAGACUGGACACCAUUCAUCUGGGUCACUAGUUUUGGCCUCAGACAGAAUAGGGAAGACCUUGCUCUGAACCUGCUAACUGUGUGACGUUGGGCGAGUCACAGGUUGUUGCACAGAAGGGCCAAGAGUGAGGCUGGCACCAGACCCCAGGGCUGCAACUUCCAGUCUUUCUCCUUCUAGUACUGACCCAGUUUGUGUAGACCACGAAAUACAGUGGGCCUCUCUGACCCUCGGUUUCCUCAUCCGUGAAAUGGAGAUCCAUUCUAUGUGUCUUGCAGAGGCUUGUGAGGAUCAGGAAGGCGGCAAAUGUAGAGUGCCCAGCCCUGGGUCCAGUGCUGUGUAGGUCCUGGUGGUUUGCCUGCCCAAGACUACUCACCAGGA